UGCAGUCGAGCGGGGUGAUGGUGCUUGCACUAUCACUUAGCGGCGGACGGGUGAGUAAUGCUUAGGAAUCUGCCUAUUAGUGGGGGACAACAUCUCGAAAGGGAUGCUAAUACCGCAUACGUCCUACGGGAGAAAGCAGGGGAUCACUUGUGACCUUGCGCUAAUAGAUGAGCCUAAGUCGGAUUAGCUAGUUGGUGGGGUAAAGGCCUACCAAGGCGACGAUCUGUAGCGGGUCUGAGAGGAUGAUCCGCCACACUGGGACUGAGACACGGCCCAGACUCCUACGGGAGGCAGCAGUGGGGAAUAUUGGACAAUGGGGGGAACCCUGAUCCAGCCAUGCCGCGUGUGUGAAGAAGGCCUUAUGGUUGUAAAGCACUUUAAGCGAGGAGGAGGCUCUUUUGGUUAAUACCCAAGAUGAGUGGACGUUACUCGCAGAAUAAGCACCGGCUAACUCUGUGCCAGCAGCCGCGGUAAUACAGAGGGUGCAAGCGUUAAUCGGAUUUACUGGGCGUAAAGCGCGCGUAGGCGGCCAAUUAAGUCAAAUGUGAAAUCCCCGAGCUUAACUUGGGAAUUGCAUUCGAUACUGGUUGGCUAGAGUGUGGGAGAGGAUGGUAGAAUUCCAGGUGUAGCGGUGAAAUGCGUAGAGAUCUGGAGGAAUACCGAUGGCGAAGGCAGCCAUCUGGCCUAACACUGACGCUGAGGUGCGAAAGCAUGGGGAGCAGACAGGAUUAGAUACCCUGGUAGUCCAUGCCGUAAACGAUGUCUACUAGCCGUUGGGGCCUUUGAGGCUUUAGUGGCGCAGCUAACGCGAUAAGUAGACCGCCUGGGGAGUACGGUCGCAAGACUAAAACUCACAUGAAUUGACGGGGGCCCGCACAAGCGGUGGAGCAUGUGGUUUAAUUCGAUGCAACGCGAAGAACCUUACCUGGCCUUGACAUAGUAGAAACUUUCCAGAGAUGGAUUGGUGCCUUCGGGAAUCUACAUACAGGUGCUGCAUGGCUGUCGUCAGCUCGUGUCGUGAGAUGUUGGGUUAAGUCCCGCAACGAGCGCAACCCUUUUCCUUACUUGCCAGCAUUUCGGAUGGGAACUUUAAGGAUACUGCCAGUGACAACUGGAGGAAGGCGGGGACGACGUCAGUCAUCAUGGCCCUUACGGCAGGCUA
RNAcentral lists this ribosomal RNA (1162 nucleotides) under Acinetobacter sp. Its description in RNAcentral is "bacterial SSU rRNA". It matches the Rfam family "Bacterial small subunit ribosomal RNA", at positions 56 to 1216 of the family's 1533-position model. The record is from RNAcentral. Lineage: Bacteria; Pseudomonadati; Pseudomonadota; Gammaproteobacteria; Moraxellales; Moraxellaceae.